RNAcentral lists this ribosomal RNA (489 nucleotides) under uncultured bacterium. RNAcentral's name for it is "partial 16S ribosomal RNA". It matches the Rfam family "Bacterial small subunit ribosomal RNA", at positions 30 to 507 of the family's 1533-position model. The record is from RNAcentral.
UUGCACGCUGGCGGCAGGCCUAACACCUGCCAGUCGAACGGUAACAGGAAGAAGCUUGCUUCUUUGCUGACGCGUGGCGGACGGGUGAGUAAUGUCUGGGAAACUGCCUGAUGGAGGGGGAUAACUACUGGAAACGGUAGCUAAUACCGCAUAACGUCGCAAGACCAAAGAGGGGGACCUUCGGGCCUCUUGCCAUCGGAUGUGCCCAGAUGGGAUUAGCUAGUAGGUGGGGUAACGGCUCACCUAGGCGACGAUCCCUAGCUGGUCUGAGAGGAUGACCAGCCACACUGGAACUGAGACACGGUCCAGACUCCUACGGGAGGCAGCAGUGGGGAAUAUUGCACAAUGGGCGCAAGCCUGAUGCAGCCAUGCCGCGUGUAUGAAGAAGGCCUUCGGGUUGUAAAGUACUUUCAGCGGGGAGGAAGGGAGUAAAGUUAAUACCUUGGCUCAUUGACGUUACCCGCAGAAGAAGCACCGGCUAACUCCGUG